Molecule: ribosomal RNA, 253 nt
Filed under: uncultured bacterium
Lineage: Bacteria
Description: partial 16S ribosomal RNA
Rfam family: Bacterial small subunit ribosomal RNA
Source: RNAcentral
UACGUAGGGGGCAAGCGUUGUCCGGAUUUAUUGGGCGUAAAGAGCGUGUAGGCGGCCAGGUAGGUCUGCUGUGAAAACUCGAGGCUUAACCUCGAGCUGUCGGCGGAAACCAUCUGGCUAGAGUCCGGAAGAGGAGAAUGGAAUUCCCGGUGUAGCGGUGAAAUGCGCAGAUAUCGGGAAGAACACCCGUGGCGAAGGCAGCUCGCUGGGACGUUACUGACGCUGAGACGCGAAAGCGUGGGGAGCAAACAGG